Molecule: long non-coding RNA, 1398 nt
Filed under: Fragaria vesca (wild strawberry)
Lineage: Eukaryota; Viridiplantae; Streptophyta; Magnoliopsida; Rosales; Rosaceae
Description: long non-coding RNA (FVES_LNC004093)
Source: RNAcentral
UAAUUGUGAAGUUGUCCUUGAAAAAAAAUAGAUUUGUUUUUAAAUAUAAAUGAGCUUGAUCGUCAACGGCUCAUGGUAAGUGAAAACAAGUUUUCUGUUAAUAAAAUAAUCUUUCAAAAGGACUUCCGAUCAUGAGUAAUAAUUAGAGUUGGUAGAAUUAUUCUUGUUUUAAAUAUUUAUAUCCACGUGUUUAUGGUGCCUUAGUGGUGAAUGUUGCAUUAGUUGUGAAUAUGUGUGCCUUAGUGGUGAGUGAGUGCAUUUGUUGUGGAUUUGUUGCCUUAGUGGUGAAUGUUUGCAUUAGUUGUGGUUGUGUGCCUGUGUGGUGGUUUUGAGUAUUAGAAUAGGAGCCUUCGUGGUGGACCGGGAACCAAGCCUUGGCCGGGUGAUUGGUUACGGUCAGUUUUAGAGCUCUAGUCUGUCGGUACUUCAUGGGGGAUGACUAUGUGUUGACGAACCUAUGAGUACGUGUUUGUCUAGUUACUUAUGAGGGAUGACUAUACGUUGACGAACUCAUAAGUAAGGGUUGAGAAAUGAUUGUGUGGUGUUAUUAUUUAAAUUUCUUGUUUUAAGAAUCUCCUGAACUAUGUUUAAUGCAGGAGAUUCUUUAGUUUUAUUUGUGUGAUUUUUAGUGAAAUCCUGAACUACGCUUUUUGCAGAAUUUCAUUAUGAUUUGUUUGGUUUUGAAUUGUUGCGUUUUCUUAAUUUCUUCUUUUCAUUUCUUUUGAUGGUAAGUGUUUUCCUGAAUUCAUUCUAAUGCAUGAACUCCCAGUUUUAUUCAUGUGUUGUUGGAUUGAGUCAUUUUUGUAGAUUUACUCAUAUGAGCUUUUAAAGCUUACCGGGUUUGUUGUUUACAACCCGGUGCACCAAUCCAUGGUGUAGAGGUUGUUUUUGCAGGUCAGGUUUAGCAGAGUUGAGCCUGCGGCAGAUAGGCAUAGUUCAUUUUGUUUACUUUCUAAUUUGCAGUGAAUUUGAGGGAGGUUUUAUUUGGUUCAAAUUAUUUUCCACAAGUUGUAAAAAUAAAUUGUUGUAUUGAUUGUUUUGCUUUUUGGUUAUCAUGCCUUGAAUUUGAAAAUUUUUUUAUUUAUCCAAAAUUCGGGGUGUGACAUUCAGGCUGGUUCGUUCAAGGAUCACCCUGAGUUAAUGGAUAUAGUCAGUCAGUUCUCUCGAUCUGAUGGGAAGAUCUAUUCGAAGGAGCUGGUGAGGUAUUUGGUGGAUCCUCAAACGGUAGCCGACGACAAAUUCAAGCGAGUGUUUGUUUGGUUCACACUGACCACUAUCCUCAGGCCCACUGCCUCACUCUCCCUUCCGAAGAAGUGGUUGGUACUCCUCAAGGACACUAGCCGCAUCUCAUCCAUGAACUGGGCUGCUUACUCUUUCCUGUGGUUGAUGAAUGGAAUC